This 385-nucleotide ribosomal RNA is filed under the name uncultured bacterium. RNAcentral's name for it is "bacterial SSU rRNA". It matches the Rfam family "Bacterial small subunit ribosomal RNA", at positions 30 to 417 of the family's 1533-position model. The record is from RNAcentral.
AUUGAACGCUGGCGGAAUGCUUUACACAUGCAAGUCGAACGGUAGAGGGGGCAACCCCUUGAGAGUGGCGAACGGGUGAGUAAUAUAUCGGAACGUGCCCAGUCGUGGGGAUAACGUAGCGAAAGUUACGCUAAUACCGCAUACGAUCUAAGGAUGAAAGCGGGGGACUCGGCAAGAGCCUCGCGCGAUUGGAGCGGCCGAUAUCAGAUUAGGUAGUUGGUGGGGUAAAGGCUCACCAAGCCAACGAUCUGUAGCUGGUCUGAGAGGACGACCAGCCACACUGGGACUGAGACACGGCCCAGACUCCUACGGGAGGCAGCAGUGGGGAAUUUUGGACAAUGGGCGCAAGCCUGAUCCAGCAAUGCCGCGUGCAGGAUGAAGGCCU